Molecule: ribosomal RNA, 501 nt
Filed under: uncultured soil bacterium
Lineage: Bacteria
Description: bacterial SSU rRNA
Rfam family: Bacterial small subunit ribosomal RNA
Source: RNAcentral
AGAUUGAACGCUGGCGGCAGGCCUAACACAUGCAAGUCGAGCGGUAGAGAGGUGCUUGCAUCUCUUGAGAGCGGCGGACGGGUGAGUAAUGCCUAGGAAUCUGCCUAGUGGUGGGGGAAUAACGUUCGGAAACGGACGCUAAUACCGCAUACGUCCUACGGGAGAAAGCGGGGGACCUUCGGGCCUCGCGCCAUUAGAUGAGCCUAGGUCGGAUUAGCUAGUUGGUGAGGUAAUGGCUCACCAAGGCGACGAUCCGUAACUGGUCUGAGAGGAUGAUCAGUCACACUGGAACUGAGACACGGUCCAGACUCUACGGGAGCAGCAGUGGGGAAUAUUGGACAAUGGGACGAAAGCCUGAUCCAGCCAUCGCCGCGUGUGUGAAGAAGGUCUUCGGAAUUCGUAAAGCUAACUUUAAGUGGAAGGAAGGUUGUAGCCGUUAAAUACCGUUGACUAACCGUUUGAACGUUACCGAACUAGAAUAAGCGAACCGGCUAAACUCGU